UUCACAUGCAAACCCCCUAAAAUGGUGCCAUCAACUUUGGAAUGCAGCUUUGGCUCAGGUUACUAAGCAACCAAACAAACUAACUACAUAAACCAUCCUACAUUGAAAAUGCAUGCAUGAUUGCUAGAUAACCCAACAAAGACACAGCUUGGACAUCACAUGUUCAACCUUCUUCUUUCCAAGAAUUUGCACACUUGGGGACUUCUGGAGGCAGUGGAAGUGGGCAGCCAAACAGUGGUUAGAUUGUCCAUCUGGAAGGGAUAGGCUUGCCAGGUCCAGCCAACCAGGUGUGUGAUAUGAGGUCAAAGGGGUGUGCUACCCAGUCCCAUUCUGAAUGGGAAGGUCUCCCUGAUAAGAACAAAACAUUUCUUCCAAGGCAUGCUUUGAACUAGAACAGUGGUUUUCAAUCUGCGGUCCCCAGGUUAAGAACCACUGCGCUAGAGCUACUUUGCUUCCUUCCCUUAUUUAAUGCUGGGGUUUCAAGCAUUUAUGUUUGCAUAUGUGAUAGUGGUGAAUUAAAGGUAUUUUAUUUUCACAAAUGUAAGGUGACUUUGACACAGGCCAGAUCCAGAUUUGGAGGGUGCCCAUCAUCCCUGGUUUGGAGGGGGAGUUCAGUUGAGCGACAUGCUGAGACAUUCCCUGCUCAGGGGUGUAGACCUGCCUCUCUGGAUAAUGUGGAAACCACCGUGACUUUUGUCAUUUUGCGUCACCUCCACCCUCUAGGCUGGUAUGUUUUGAGAGUUAUCAGAUACCAAGUCGUGGCCUGUGUAUCAUAGCAUCCUUGUUCCAUGUUUCCAAUGGCAUACUCAGCCCCAAUUCAUCACUAGGGCUGUAAGGGGGGCACUUUGCAGUUGCUGCAACUGGACAGCAGAGUGAGCAGACACAAGACAGGUCAUCUGGUUAGAGCAGUAGUUCUCAGCCUGUGGGUCCCCAGGUGUUUUGGCCUACAACUCCCAGAAAUUCCAGCCAGUUUACCAUCUGUUAGGAUUUCUGGGAGCUGAAGGCCAAAAACAUCUGGGGACUCCAGGUUAAGAACCACUGGGGUAGUGUAUUGCAUGGAAUGGGGCAAAACAUUUUUAUUAAAACUGUGGUAAUCAUUUCUGCAUUGACUAAUUCAUGGCAUGGAUUCACCAUAGCAGUGAUAUGGAAUUCACCAGUUGCCACUGAAGACCGUGUAGUUAUUUGCUUUCAAAGUCACUCAGAUUUAUUCUAGGGCAAUAGUUCUCAACUUGUGGGUCCCCAGAUGUUUUGGCCAAAUUCCAGAAAUCCUAACAGCUGGUAAACUGGGAGUUGUAAGCCAAAACACCUGGGGACCCACAGGUUGAGAACCACUGUUCUAGGAUUUUCUUGUCAGGAUUUGUUCAAGAAGAGGUUUGCCACCUUUAAGUCUGAGAUGUGACUUUGCCUCCAAGGCAAAGCAGGGGUUUGAAGCUCAGUCUCCUGCAGUCUUCACCCAACACUCAAAUCAUUACACUAUCCUGCCUCUGCUGAGUACUUUUUUUGGUGUCAUU
Molecule: long non-coding RNA, 1511 nt
Filed under: Anolis carolinensis (green anole)
Lineage: Eukaryota; Metazoa; Chordata; Lepidosauria; Squamata; Anolidae
Description: lncRNA (ENSACAG00000037261.1)
Source: RNAcentral